GGAAGGUCCGGUUGCCUAUUCCCUGCUAUAGGCAGGAUUAACCCAUCUUUCCAGGAGCCCCACCUGGAGGAAGAACACACAGCCUGCCAGGGGCUGUGCCCCUUCUCCACCGAGCUCACCAGUACCCUCAGGCAGGCAGAUAAUUCCGUGGCCCUGCACCCAGCGGUAGCAGGGGAAAAAGGCCUCGCCUUGGGUCCCCGGGCCCUGCACUGAGAUCCACUUGCAGAACCAGUCGAGACUCAACAGCACGUUGUGUUUGCGCAGCUUCACCAUCAGGAGGCGCCCCAGGUGCAGGGGGACGUCGAUCUCAAACUCUGCCUCCUGCGCGACAGUACACAGCUCAGGUUUUGGGGUCUUCAGGGAGGACGGCGGGGUCGGUGAACCUUCAGAGAAUCCUGGCUCCGUUUCCCCUCCACAGCACAGCCGGGGAGAGGUGGAGGUGAGGAGGAGCAGCUGGUACUGCGGGGCGCCAGCCUCCCCCCGGGCCUGCCGUGCCCACCCCAGCGGGCGUCUCUGUCCUUCCGCUCGGGCAGGAAAAUGCCUCUCAUCUCUCCUGUUCCUCUCGCUUUUCCUAUCAGGCGCACCAAGUGCACCCGACCUCAGCCCCUACCCCGCUUCCCAGGUUUCUCAUGGGUGGGGCAGCAGCACCCUCCGAAUGGCCCCGGCCCCCAGUGACACCUCUGAGUCCCAGGGCCCCAGCUCUCACCGCAGUCCGCGCUCACCUUUCCCCACACCGGUGGCAGCUGCUUCCCUAGGUCUGCCUCCCCGUGCUCGCCCACCAGCCAUAGCUGCACCAGGUUGGGAGAGCCCGCCAGGAGCAAAUCCCCGGUGGCUACGCGGACCGUGUACUUGCCCAUCUUGCCCGGAGAUCCGGGGAGAAAUCAGCUUUAAAAGGAUCUGAGACCCAGCUCCCAGGGAACCACGCCCAGCCCAGAGUGGCUGUUGUAUUUGGGUUUCAGGCUCCCCACCUCCCACCCACAGAUUCCUCCCCGACUAGGAGGAACGCUGGGACUGGCGCCAGGCUAGGGUCUCUGUAUCCAGAGUUUCUCCCGGCGGCUCUGGAAAGGGCAGCCUCACCCUUAUUCACUUGGCAAACACUCCCUGAUGCCAGUUUCACACCCUGCCAUGAGCCAAACACAGCAGCCUACGGACGAUGACAGCUAAACACUAGCUCCCACCCAAUUUUGGUGAAUACAUAAAUAAGAUUGCCACGGAAGUGAAAUGGCUUGAUCAUAGGGGUAUUUUUCAAUGGAAAGUUGACACUCCCCAGACACUCCUGCUCACCCACGGCUCGCCUCUCUCCUGGACCUCCUGGGCUAUCGUGAACAGAAGGGCUUGAACAGCCCUUCCACCUCCUCAUGUUGAAAGAGAAAUAAAGGGCCAUUGUGUUUUCAUUGAA
Molecule: long non-coding RNA, 1399 nt
Organism: Homo sapiens (human)
Lineage: Eukaryota; Metazoa; Chordata; Mammalia; Primates; Hominidae
Exons: 2
Source: RefSeq, a predicted model, not a curated record